This 257-nucleotide ribosomal RNA is filed under the name uncultured bacterium. RNAcentral describes it as "partial 16S ribosomal RNA". It matches the Rfam family "Bacterial small subunit ribosomal RNA", at positions 524 to 776 of the family's 1533-position model. The record is from RNAcentral.
UACGUAGGGGGGCAAGCGUUGUCCGGAAUUACUGGGCGUAAAGAGCUCGUAGGCGGUUUGUCGCGUCUGCCGUGAAAGUCCCGGGGCUCAACUCCGGAUCUGCGGUGGGUACGGGGCAGACUAGAGUGAUGUAGGGGGAGACUGGAAUUCCUGGUGUAGCGGUGAAAUGCGCAGAUAUCAGGAGGAACACCGAUGGCGAAGGCAGGUCUCUGGGCAUUAACUGACGCUGAGGAGCGAAAGCAUGGGGAGCGAACAGG